Molecule: ribosomal RNA, 1408 nt
Filed under: Aplastodiscus arildae (Teresopolis treefrog)
Lineage: Eukaryota; Metazoa; Chordata; Amphibia; Anura; Hylidae
Description: partial 16S ribosomal RNA
Rfam family: Bacterial large subunit ribosomal RNA
Source: RNAcentral
GCUAAAAAUCUAGCCCAUCCCUGUUAUUAAUUUACCCUCUUACUUCACCCCCCUUCCCUAAAACAUUUUUACAAUCUAGUAAAGGUGAUAAAAAAAUUUUUUGGAGCAACACUGAUAGUACCGAAAGGGAAAAAUGAAAUAGAAAUGAAAUAAACAAUUAAGCACAAAAAAGUAAAGAUUUAACCUUGUACCUUUUGUAUUAUGGCUUAGUUAGUCUUAAUCAAGCAAAAUGAAUUUUAGUUUGACUUCCCGAAACUAGGCGAGCUACUCCAAGGCAACUUUAAGAGCCAACCCGUCUCUGUUGCAAAAGAGUGGGAAGACCUUCGAGUAGAGGUGACAGACCAACCGAGCCUAGAGAUAGCUGGUUACCCAAUAAAAGAAUUUUAGUUCAACCUAAAGCUAAUCAGUGAAUAUAAACAUCUGCUUUAGAGCUAUUCAAAUAAGGUACAGCUUAUUUGAAACAGGAUACAACCUAGGCUAACGGGUUAUUCUUCUAGCAACGCACCAAAGUAGGCCUAAAAGCAGCCAUCUUUUAGAUAGCGUCAAAGCUUACCUGCCCAUGCACUUAAUUUCUAAAAAUUUUCCUAACCCUUUUUCAACACUGGGUAAUUUUAUAAUCUUAUAAAACUUAUUAUGUUAAGACUAGUAACAAGAAGUAAACCCUUCUCUUUAAUGCAAGUGUAAGCCAGAAGGAUAACCCACUGUCAAUUAACACAUAUGAGACUUAAUUAGUAACACCACGAGAAAAUCCUUAUAUUUAUAGUGUUAAUCUAACACAAGAGCAUUUCAAGAAAGAUUUAAAAUAAAGGAAGGAACUCAGCAAAUAUCAACCCCGCCUGUUUACCAAAAACAUCGCCUCUUGAACUUUAAUAAGAGGUCCAGCCUGCCCAGUGACCUAAUUCAACGGCCGCGGUAUCCUAACCGUGCGAAGGUAGCGUAAUCACUUGUUCUUUAAUUGAGGACUAGUAUGAAUGGCACCACGAGAGUUGUACUGUCUCCCUUUUUUAAUCAGUGAAACUAAUCCCCCCGUGAAGAAGCGGGAAUUUUUAUGUAAGACGAGAAGACCCUAUGGAGCUUUAAACUGACCACCACCUGCUGCCCUAUAAAUCUCACAUAAAGCAAAGUAGGAUGUUAACAUGUUUUCGAUUGGGGUGAUCACGGAGCAAAAAAUAACCUCCACGAUAGACAGGCCUAAACCCUGAGCAACAAGCCACAACUUUCAGCACUAUAAAAUUAAUAUUUCUUGACCCAAUAAUUUGAUCAACGAACCAAGUUACCCUAGGGAUAACAGCGCAAUCUACUUCAAGAGCCCCUAUCGACAAGUAGGUUUACGACCUCGAUGUUGGAUUAGGGUGUCCUAGUGGUGCAGCCGCUACUAAGGGUUCGUUUGUUCAACGAUUAAAACCCU